This 514-nucleotide ribosomal RNA is filed under the name Leptolyngbya sp. ISC 83. RNAcentral describes it as "bacterial SSU rRNA". It matches the Rfam family "Bacterial small subunit ribosomal RNA", at positions 193 to 727 of the family's 1533-position model. The record is from RNAcentral. Lineage: Bacteria; Bacillati; Cyanobacteriota; Cyanophyceae; Leptolyngbyales; Leptolyngbyaceae.
CCUAAGGGUGAAAAGAGAUUUGCCUGAAGAUGAGCUCGCGUCAGAUUAGCUAGUUGGUGGGGUAAGGGCCUACCAAGGCGACGAUCUGUAGCUGGUCUGAGAGGAUGAUCAGCCACACUGGGACUGAGACACGGCCCAGACUCCUACGGGAGGCAGCAGUGGGGAAUUUUCCGCAAUGGGCGAAAGCCUGACGGAGCAAGACCGCGUGAGGGAUGACGGCCUAAUGGUUGUAAACCUCUUUUCUCUAGGAAGAUGAUGACGGUACUAGAGGAAUCAGCCUCGGCUAACUCCGUGCCAGCAGCCGCGGUAAUACGGAGGAGGCAAGCGUUAUCCGGAAUUAUUGGGCGUAAAGCGUCCGUAGGUGGUUGAACAAGUCAGUUGUUAAAGAGUGGGGCUUAACCCUAUAGAGGCGAUUGAAACUGUUUAACUAGAGUUAGGUAGGGGUUACGGGAAUUCCCAGUGUAGCGGUGAAAUGCGUAGAUAUUGGGAAGAACACCGGUGGCGAAAGCGCGUG